This 256-nucleotide unclassified non-coding RNA is filed under the name Trichophaea sp. RNAcentral's name for it is "partial contains 5.8S ribosomal RNA, internal transcribed spacer 2, and large subunit ribosomal RNA". The stretch from base 1 to 52 matches the Rfam family "5.8S ribosomal RNA", at positions 103 to 154 of the family's 154-position model. RNAcentral also lists the same sequence under 2 other names. Lineage: Eukaryota; Fungi; Ascomycota; Pezizomycetes; Pezizales; Pyronemataceae. The record is from RNAcentral.
AACGCACAUUGCGCCUCCUGGUAUUCCGGGAGGCAUGCCUGUUCGAGCGUCAUUAAAUACCUCUCAAGCAAAUUUGCUUGGUCGUGGAAGAUGAGUAUGCUUGCAUUCUCCCUUCUGAAAUUCAAAGGCGGAUGAUCUCAUAUCCCCAGGUGUAGUAAGUUUAUCUUUUCGCUUGGUGUGUGUGAUUGCCCUGCCGUUGACCUCCAUUUUUUUCAAGGUUGACCUCGGAUCAGGUAGGGAUACCCGCUGAACUUAA